RNAcentral lists this ribosomal RNA (466 nucleotides) under uncultured bacterium. Its description in RNAcentral is "partial 16S ribosomal RNA". It matches the Rfam family "Bacterial small subunit ribosomal RNA", at positions 28 to 507 of the family's 1533-position model. The record is from RNAcentral.
GAUGAACGCUGGCGGCGUGCUUAACACAUGCAAGUCGAACGAUGAAGCCCAGCUUGCUGGGUGGAUUAGUGGCGAACGGGUGAGUAACACGUGAGUAACCUGCCCUUAACUCUGGGAUAAGCCUGGGAAACUGGGUCUAAUACCGGAUAGGAGCGUCCACCGCAUGGUGGGUGUUGGAAAGAUUUAUCGGUUUUGGAUGGACUCGCGGCCUAUCAGCUUGUUGGUGAGUUAAUGGCUCUCCAAGGCGACGACGGGUAGCCGGCCUGAGAGGGUGACCGGCCACACUGGGACUGAGACACGGCCCAGACUCCUACGGGAGGCAGCAGUGGGGAAUAUUGCACAAUGGGCGAAAGCCUGAUGCAGCGACGCCGCGUGAGGGAUGACGGCCUUCGGGUUGUAAACCUCUUUCAGUAGGGAAGAAGCGAAAGUGACGGUACCUGCAGAAGAAGCACCGGCUAACUACGUG